AAAGAAUAGAGUGGCCUGGUUAGCAAUGAAUUUCCUGACUGUAACAUUUCUCUUAAGUUGAUCCGGCAGAAGCACCAUUAAUACUGCUGAAAAUAGGAAGGUUGCAGCAGAAAGUUUGGAAGCCAACGUGGUAGCUGACGGAAAACCCAUCUUGAAGCUGAAAAAAGGGGGACGCUGUAUGAUUGGGAAUGUCAGAACCCAUCGUUUCUUGUAAACAUAGAAAAAGCCAUAAAUCAGACCCAUCAAGAGACCCGUAUGCCACGCACUUCUAAGACCAUCUGAUUUCCCCCAACAUAUGGAAACCGCCGCCAAGGAACCCGAAACCGCAGUUGCCACUACAAACAGAACCAAAUAGAAGGAAACCAUAGCCCGACGGCGAAA
This 381-nucleotide unclassified non-coding RNA is filed under the name Hevea brasiliensis (rubber tree). Lineage: Eukaryota; Viridiplantae; Streptophyta; Magnoliopsida; Malpighiales; Euphorbiaceae. The record is from RNAcentral.